UUUCCGGUGCGUUUGCGAGG
RNAcentral lists this non-coding RNA (20 nucleotides) under Arabidopsis thaliana (thale cress). Lineage: Eukaryota; Viridiplantae; Streptophyta; Magnoliopsida; Brassicales; Brassicaceae. The record is from RNAcentral.